UUCCCUUCUCCUCUAAAACGCACAGCUUCAUUGAGGACGAAAUCGAGAGAAAAAUGAAAUUUUGUGGCAAAAUUGAAAAAUAAAAACAAAAUAGGACCCAAUCGUAAACAGCCUCAAAAGCGGAAGGACCAAGAGCGCAAAUAACCCCUUUUAUCCAGAAACACGCGGAUCCUUGGCGGUUUGGGUCGAGUCGGUCCGAUCCAUGUUAAAACGACGUCGUUUUGUGGCUUUCUGAACUCCCCAAAACGGCGCCGUUUUAAUAUCCUAUAUAAGUUAAAAAUCUGCAAAAAAAAAUCAUUUUCCCCUUCUUUAAACAAAAAAAAAAUUCAGAAAACCUCUCCUCUCU
RNAcentral lists this long non-coding RNA (346 nucleotides) under Gossypium raimondii (Peruvian cotton). Its description in RNAcentral is "long non-coding RNA (GRAI_LNC011227)". Lineage: Eukaryota; Viridiplantae; Streptophyta; Magnoliopsida; Malvales; Malvaceae. The record is from RNAcentral.